UCUUCAGUGAGGUCAAUCCAUACCUGUUCUUCCGUAAAGAGAAACAGUACAUGAUGAAUGAAGAAGGCUAAAAUGUGAUUUCAGCAGCUCCGCAUCUCCCGAGCGACAAUACAUUUCGGGAGGUGACGUUCUGAU
Non-coding RNA from Pelobates cultripes (western spadefoot toad), 135 nucleotides. The record is from the annotation of a GenBank genome assembly. NCBI's taxonomy places the organism in Eukaryota, Metazoa, Chordata, Amphibia, Anura, Pelobatidae.